Patella vulgata (common limpet) is the source of this 2490-nucleotide long non-coding RNA. RefSeq lists it as uncharacterized. The record is from RefSeq and is a predicted model, not a curated record. The transcript has 7 exons. NCBI's taxonomy places the organism in Eukaryota, Metazoa, Mollusca, Gastropoda, Patellidae.
AAUUUUUUUUUAUGUGUUCUAAAAGUGUUCCGCUAAUUCAGCAAUCUAAUGAAUCUGUCUUAAUUUUUCUGAAAUCGUGCUUAAUUAUUAUUAGCUAAUCGGCGCUACACCGUUGUUCAAAUACUUAUAAUUGCAAGAAACCCCCGACUAGGACCAGCAGUCAUUGAUGUUAGCAUGUACUACACAAAGAAAAACAGGCAAAGCAUGAAGCCAAAGGAAAUGUUUUUACCAAGGCAUGUUCCUCAAUAGCGGAGAGAGUUUUAUCCAGUGUCGGUUCUGCAGAAGAACCCAUUCAUAGCAGACCACCCAUUGCAGCACUUGUAAGGUCGCUAUAAAGAACCCGACAGACUCUGCGACCAAAAGAUCCCACUGACGUGUCGUCAAGCCUUGACGAAGAUUUCAUCGAUCAUAGUGCACCGGGAUUUUAUCAAAAAAGAGUAAAAGUUGGGGAAAGGCGCCAUCACAUUUUUUGUACUGAUAGACAGAUGCAACUACUCGCACGCGCAAAAACUUGGUAUAUGGAUGCAACUUUUCGGGUGGUGAACAAGCCAUGGUCUCAGCUGUUUUCCAUACACGCCUUCAUUAAGACUGGAGAGACCACCCGACAGUUACCAUUGGUGUUUUGUGUAAUGUCGGGUAAAAGCCAAGACGACUAUUAUAAGUUUCCAUAUUAGAUGCCAUAGCAAAUCAAAGAUCAUAUAAUAAAAUAAGUCAAAAAACCCAAAUAUGGAAAAAGAAAGAGCUGAAGAAAUGGUGAUUUGAGCACCUAUGCUUUCUCAUAGGUGUUUUUGGAGGUUUCCAUAUUAGAUGCCAUAGCAAAUCAAAGAUCAUAUAAUAAAAUAAGUCAAAAAACCCAAAUAUGGGAAAAGAAAGAGCUGAAGAAAUGGUGAUUUGAGCACCUAUGAUUUCUCAUAGGUGUUUUUGGAGGGUGAGUGUUCAAUUCUAAUAGAAAAGAUUGUUGUUGUGGUAUUUAUAGAAUCUCACCAUAAUGUGUUUGGCACAAUAUAGCCCGGUUGGACCUGAUGUGACAUAAACCUCGAUUUCAUUUUAAUAUUUUGAAAUUUAAAAUUCAGUUUAGUAUAGUAAAACUGUACACUUACAUGUAUGUGCACAGACAGAAUCUUACUUAUGUCCAGAUACAUGUAGAUAUGACUAUCUCAUCUGUGGGGACCCAUGGUUAACUACAUGAGAAAGAUCAAGACAGUUGGAAAUGGCUAUUCAUAUUAUGGAAACUUUUUCUCACAGAGCUUGAUAAUCAGGUAAAAUGCUGGAAGAUUAUUUGAUGUAUGAUAACAACAAGAGAUCCCAAGCAUCAAUUUAUUUUAUAAUUCUGGAAAAGAAUGCAUUUGACCCAAUUUUUGAAUAUUUUUUUUUGUUUUUACUGUUAAAUAUUCAUCCCAAACACAAUUAGAUUUUAAUUCUCUACAGAAAUUUAUGUAUAAUAUAGAAUGUAAAGUGACAUAUAAAUCACUUAGAAUUUGGUCGGAAAUCAUAAAGUAUUUAAUAGGCAUAGUCUAGAAACCAAAUGUAGAUCAAAUAUACCCAGAAUUACAAAAAACCUUGACCUACAUUAAGGUGACUUUCCCUUGCUUAUGAAAUGAAAUAGGGUUUAAUAUCCUACUUUUCUGUGUUAUUAUGGUGAUUCUGCCCUACAACCUACUCUUAUAUCAAAUAUUUCAUCUGUCAAGGGUUGUUUAAAGGGAACCCAGGAGGGCCGAAUGGUUAACACACGCACAUUGGAUCAGAAGGGUCUGUCAUUGAGUCAGAUAAUUCAAUUGUCAAGGGUUCUUUAAAGUAAACGCAGUGGGGGUAGUUUCAAUUCUGGGCUUAUACCCAAUUAUCCCUUGCCAUGUCCUACACUACUGACGUGUGGGAACUAUGUCGGAAAAUCCAGUUGAAAUUUCUCGGCCAAUGCACUCACUGAACCACAGUGGCUCCUCCUUGCUUUUGACUUGUGAUUAUUUAUAUAUAUUUUGUACAUAUUAUUUAAUGUUUGCGAUUUUCUCUGAUAUUUUUUUAUUUUUCAAUCCUGUAAUCUUGAUGCUUUGCUCCUUUUAUGUACAAAAUAUUCAUUUUGUUUGAGGAAAAGGUUCUACAUCAUUUUAUUACUCCUGCAAAAUAGUGCAUUUUUCUUUUGUUAGUUUUCUGUGUAUGCUAGUUAUUUCUAGAUGCCUCACAAAUCACUUGUAAUAUGACUUUGUAGCACUUUUCAGUUUCUGAAAGUAUUUCAAUUUAGUGCAUAAUUAAUCUAAUUAGGGCUUGGUUUGGAUGUUAUUAAAUUUAGAUAUAUUUGAAUUAUAUAUUUUUGUGGUAUGGGGUAGGGAUCUUUCUUUUCUCAGUUCUUGUUUUCGGGUAAAGAAAAAAUUAAAUAGCUAUUUUGAAUUUUGUGAUGUGGGGGGGAGGGAGGCAAAGUAUAACAAAAUUUUUAUUAGUAUUAGAAUUAUAUCUCUGUUUUUCUGUUAACAUUUCAAAUGAUGUCUAUUUAGUUUU